Molecule: ribosomal RNA, 253 nt
Filed under: uncultured bacterium
Lineage: Bacteria
Description: partial 16S ribosomal RNA
Rfam family: Bacterial small subunit ribosomal RNA
Source: RNAcentral
UACGAAGGGGGCUAGCGUUGUUCGGAAUUACUGGGCGUAAAGCGCGUGUAGGCGGUUGCCAAAGUCGGGUGUGAAAGCCUUGAGCUCAACUCAAGAAAUGCACUCGAUACUUGGUGACUAGAGGACCGGAGAGGAUAGUGGAAUUCCCAGUGUAGUGGUGAAAUACGUAGAGAUUGGGAAGAACACCAGUGGCGAAGGCGGCUAUCUGGACGGUUUCUGACGCUAAGACGCGAAAGCGUGGGGAGCAAACAGG